UACAGAGGGGGCAAGCGUUAUUCGGAAUUAUUGGGCGUAAAGGGCGCGUAGGCGGCCGCCUAAGUCAGACGUGAAAUCCCUCGGCUCAACCGGGGAACUGCGUCUGAUACUGGGUGGCUUGAAUCCGGGAGAGGGAUGCGGAAUUCCAGGUGUAGCGGUGAAAUGCGUUGAUAUCAUCAGGAACACCGGAGGCGAAGGCGGCUCACUGGGGAUUUUCUGACGCUGAGGAACGAAAGCCAGGGGAGCGAACGGG
This 253-nucleotide ribosomal RNA is filed under the name uncultured bacterium. RNAcentral's name for it is "partial 16S ribosomal RNA". It matches the Rfam family "Bacterial small subunit ribosomal RNA", at positions 524 to 776 of the family's 1533-position model. The record is from RNAcentral.